CCUGAUCCAGCAAUGCCGCGUGUGUGAAGAAGGCCUUCGGGUUGUAAAGCACUUUUAUCAGGAGCGAAAUACUGCCGGCUAAUACCCGGCGGGGCUGACGGUACCUGAGGAAUAAGCACCGGCUAACUUCGUGCCAGCAGCCGCGGUAAUACGAAGGGUGCAAGCGUUAAUCGGAAUUACUGGGCGUAAAGCGUGCGUAGGCGGUUCUUUAAGUCUGCUGUGAAAUCCCCGGGCUCAACCUGGGAAUGGCAGUGGAUACUGGAGAGCUAGAGUGUGAUAGAGGAUGGUGGAAUUCCCGGUGUAGCGGUGAAAUGCGUAGAGAUCGGGAGGAACAUCAGUGGCGAAGGCGGCCAUCUGGAUCAACACUGACGCUGAGGCACGAAAGCGUGGGGAGCAAACAGGAUUAGAUACCCUGGUAGUCCACGCCCUAAACGAUGCGAACUGGAUGUUGGUCUCAACUCGGAGAUCAGUGUCGAAGCUAACGCGUUAAGUUCGCCGCCUGGGGAGUACGGUCGCAAGACUGAAACUCAAAGGAAUUGACGGGGGCCCGCACAAGCGGUGGAGUAUGUGGUUUAAUUCGAUGCAACGCGAAGAACCUUACCUGGCCUUGACAUGUCUGGAAUCCUGC
Molecule: ribosomal RNA, 628 nt
Filed under: Dyella sp. IBb307
Lineage: Bacteria; Pseudomonadati; Pseudomonadota; Gammaproteobacteria; Lysobacterales; Rhodanobacteraceae
Description: bacterial SSU rRNA
Rfam family: Bacterial small subunit ribosomal RNA
Source: RNAcentral